Molecule: ribosomal RNA, 508 nt
Filed under: Bifidobacterium longum subsp. suillum
Lineage: Bacteria; Bacillati; Actinomycetota; Actinomycetes; Bifidobacteriales; Bifidobacteriaceae
Description: bacterial SSU rRNA
Source: RNAcentral
AUGCCGGAUGCUCCAGUUGAUCGCAUGGUCUUCUGGGAAAGCUUUCGCGGUAUGGGAUGGGGUCGCGUCCUAUCAGCUUGACGGCGGGGUAACGGCCCACCGUGGCUUCGACGGGUAGCCGGCCUGAGAGGGCGACCGGCCACAUUGGGACUGAGAUACGGCCCAGACUCCUACGGGAGGCAGCAGUGGGGAAUAUUGCACAAUGGGCGCAAGCCUGAUGCAGCGACGCCGCGUGAGGGAUGGAGGCCUUCGGGUUGUAAACCUCUUUUAUCGGGGAGCAAGCGWGAGUGAGUUUACCCGUUGAAUAAGCACCGGCUAACUACGUGCCAGCAGCCGCGGUAAUACGUAGGGUGCAAGCGUUAUCCGGAAUUAUUGGGCGUAAAGGGCUCGUAGGCGGUUCGUCGCGUCCGGUGUGAAAGUCCAUCGCUUAACGGUGGAUCCGCGCCGGGUACGGGCGGGCUUGAGUGCGGUAGGGGAGACUGGAAUUCCCGGUGUAACGGUGGAAUGU